UACGAAGGGUGCAAGCGUUACUCGGAAUUACUGGGCGUAAAGGGCGCGUAGGCGGUUCGUCAAGUCCUGUGUGAAAUCCCCCGGCUCAACUGGGGAACUGCACAGGAAACUAGCGGGCUUGAGUUCGGGAGAGGGAAGCGGAAUUCCGGGUGUAGCGGUGAAAUGCGUAGAUAUCCGGAGGAACACCGGUGGCGAAGGCGGCUUCCUGGACCGACACUGACGCUGAGGCGCGAAAGCUAGGGGAGCAAACGGG
This 253-nucleotide ribosomal RNA is filed under the name uncultured bacterium. Its description in RNAcentral is "partial 16S ribosomal RNA". It matches the Rfam family "Bacterial small subunit ribosomal RNA", at positions 524 to 776 of the family's 1533-position model. The record is from RNAcentral.